Molecule: ribosomal RNA, 484 nt
Filed under: uncultured bacterium
Lineage: Bacteria
Description: partial 16S ribosomal RNA
Rfam family: Bacterial small subunit ribosomal RNA
Source: RNAcentral
AUUGAACGCUGGCGGCAGGCCUAACACAUGCAAGUCGAGCGGAUGAAGGGAGCUUGCUCCUGGAUUCAGCGGCGGACGGGUGAGUAAUGCCUAGGAAUCUGCCUGGUAGUGGGGAAAAUGGUCCGAAACCGGGCCUAAAUACUCCUUCCUCCCUGUGGUGGAAGUUGGGUGAUCUCGGGACCUCAUCCAUUCAUAGUGGCCUAGGUCGGAUUAGCUGGUUGGUGGGGUAAAGGCUUACCAAGGCGACGAUCCGUAACUGGUCUGAGAGGAUGAUCAGUCACACUGGAACUGAGACACGGUCCAGACUCCUACGGGAGGCAGCAGUGGGGAAUAUUGGACAAUGGGCGAAAGCCUGAUCCAGCCAUGCCGCGUGUGUGAAGAAGGUCUUCGGAUUGUAAAGCACUUUAAGUUGGGAGGAAGGGCAGUAAGUUAAUACCUUGCUGUUUUGACGUUACCAACAGAAUAAGCACCGGCUAACUUCGUG